This 24-nucleotide non-coding RNA is filed under the name Arabidopsis thaliana (thale cress). The record is from RNAcentral. Lineage: Eukaryota; Viridiplantae; Streptophyta; Magnoliopsida; Brassicales; Brassicaceae.
CGCUGUAUAUUGUUGCUUGUAGUC